RNAcentral lists this ribosomal RNA (681 nucleotides) under uncultured bacterium. RNAcentral's name for it is "bacterial SSU rRNA". It matches the Rfam family "Bacterial small subunit ribosomal RNA", at positions 75 to 749 of the family's 1533-position model. The record is from RNAcentral.
GAAGCUUGCUUCUUUGCUGACGAGUGGCGGACGGGUGAGUAAUGUCUGGGAAACUGCCUGAUGGAGGGGGAUAACUACUGGAAACGGUAGCUAAUACCGCAUAACGUCGCAAGACCAAAGAGGGGGACCUUCGGGCCUCUUGCCAUCGGAUGUGCCCAGAUGGGAUUAGCUAGUAGGUGGGGUAACGGCUCACCUAGGCGACGAUCCCUAGCUGGUCUGAGAGGAUGACCAGCCACACUGGAACUGAGACACGGUCCAGACUCCUACGGGAGGCAGCAGUGGGGAAUAUUGCACAAUGGGCGCAAGCCUGAUGCAGCCAUGCCGCGUGUAUGAAGAAGGCCUUCGGGUUGUAAAGUACUUUCAGCGGGGAGGAAGGGAGUAAAGUUAAUACCUUUGCUCAUUGACGUUACCCGCAGAAGAAGCACCGGCUAACUCCGUGCCAGCAGCCGCGGUAAUACGGAGGGUGCAAGCGUUAAUCGGAAUUACUGGGCGUAAAGCGCACGCAGGCGGUUUGUUAAGUCAGAUGUGAAAUCCCCGGGCUCAACCUGGGAACUGCAUCUGAUACUGGCAAGCUUGAGUCUCGUAGAGGGGGGUAGAAUUCCAGGUGUAGCGGUGAAAUGCGUAGAGAUCUGGAGGAAUACCGGUGGCGAAGGCGGCCCCCUGGACGAAGACUGACGCUCA